GUGCAUUAACAAUUAUCAUUAUUUUUAUUAAACUCUAGUCUCUUUAUUUUUCCUCAAAAUGGAUCACCAUUCAAAUUGUUAGCAUUGGGUAAACUCAUUGUUUUUAGUUUCACGAUUUUUAAUUAGAAACGUUCCAAAUGGUUGAUUUUUUCCGGCAAAGGGUUAAACGACCAUAAGAGUUUUUUUUUUUUUUGGUCAACGACCAUAAGAGUUAAUGAAAGCAAUGUAAACUAAACAUACUAUUAGGCAUUCAUAUGUCAAUAAUUGUUUUCGUAUAUUGAAUUUGAGAAGCGCAUAAGACCAGAGGUUAUCGCAGCAAAUGAGAUAGGUUCAUUAGAUGAAACCAAAGAAUCACUUCAAGAGUCCUGCUUCCUCUUUGGACCACCUGGUACCGGGAAAACGAUGAUUGCAAAAGCCAUUGCAAACGAAGCUGGAGCUAGUUUUAUAAACGUGUCCAUGUUCACAAUCACUUCAAAAUGGUUUGGAGAAGAUGAGAAGAAUGUGAGAGCUUUGUUCACCUUAGCAGCCAAAGUGUCUGCAACUAUUAUAUUUGUGGAUGAAGUGGAUAGCAUGUUGGGGCAGAGGACAAGAGUUGGAGAGCAUGAAGCUAUGAGUAAGAUUAAAAACGAGUUCAUGACACAUUGGGAUGGGCUUAUGUCGAAUUAAGGUGAUCGGAUUCUUGUUCUUGCAGCAACAAAUAGGCCGAUAUAGAUGAAGCCAUCAUUAGGAGGUCUGAGAGAAGAAUCAUGGUUGGUCUUCCACCGGUUGAGAGCGGAGAGAAGAUCUUGAGAACUUUAUUUUCAAAAGAGCAAACAGAGAACCUUGAUUCUUGCGCAGAUGACAGAUGGUUAUAGUGGAAGUGAUCUAAAGAACUUUUGUACAACAGCUGCAUAUCGACCGGUGAGGGAGCUGAUAAAGCAUUGAGUGCUUGAAAAGGAGAGGAAGCAGAGAAGAGUAGUGAAGAGGGGUUUGAAGCAAAAGAAGAAGCAACAGAGGAGAGUCAUAACGUUGAGAGCUCUGAGCAUGGAAGACAUGAGAAUAGCUAAAAGCCAGGUUGCUGCUAGUUCUGCAGGAGCAGGGAUGAAUGAACUGAAGCAGUAAGGAGGCUCCAGGAAGAAGGAACAGCUUUUUCUUCUUAUUUCCUCUAAUACACCAAUCUUCUCCUAUUUACAUCUUCAACAAAAGUUUUCAUGUAUAUGAAUCACUGAUUAGUAUUGUCAUAUGAAACAUUAAUUCCAGAGAUUUUGUAAAUAAAACAUUAAUUUCAUUGAACGAAGAUUAGG
This is a long non-coding RNA of Brassica napus (rape), 1283 nucleotides long. RefSeq lists it as uncharacterized. The record is from RefSeq and is a predicted model, not a curated record. The transcript is spliced from 5 exons. NCBI's taxonomy places the organism in Eukaryota, Viridiplantae, Streptophyta, Magnoliopsida, Brassicales, Brassicaceae.